CCUACGGGUGGCAGCAGUGAGGAAUAUUGGUCAAUGGCCGGAAGGCUGAACCAGCCAUGUCGCGUGAAGGUCAGUGCCCUAUGGGCGUUAAAAUUCUUUUAUGCGGGAGCAAUAAUGGUCACGUGUGGCCAGACGAGAGUACCGUACCAAUAAGCAUCGGCUAACUCCGUGCCAGCAGCCGCGGUAAUACGGGGGAGGCAAGCGUUAUCCGGAUUUAUUGGGGUUAAAGGGUGCGUAGGUUGUUUUUUAAGUAAGGGGGGAAAGUUUGUGGAUCAAACAUAAAAUUGCCGUUGAAACUGGAAGACUUGAGUGUGUUUGAGGUAGGCGGAAUGCGUGGUGUAGCGGUGAAAUGCAUAGAUAUCACGCAGAACUCCGAUUGCGAAGGCAGCUUACUAAGCCAUAACUGACACUGAAGCACGAAAGCGUGGGGAUCAAACAGGAUUAGAUACCCGUGUAGUC
RNAcentral lists this ribosomal RNA (459 nucleotides) under uncultured bacterium. RNAcentral's name for it is "partial 16S ribosomal RNA". It matches the Rfam family "Bacterial small subunit ribosomal RNA", at positions 338 to 795 of the family's 1533-position model. The record is from RNAcentral.